UACGUAGGUGGCAAGCGUUGUUCGGAAUUACUGGGCGUAAAGGGCUCGUAGGUGGCCAACUAAGUCGGACGUGAAAUCCCUCGGCUUAACCGGGGAACUGCGUCCGAUACUGGUUGGCUUGAGUUUGGGAGAGGGAUGCGGAAUUCCAGGUGUAGCGGUGAAAUGCGUAGAUAUCUGGAGGAACACCGGUGGCGAAGGCGGCAUCCUGGACCAAUACUGACGCUGAGGAGCGAAAGCCAGGGGAGCAAACGGG
RNAcentral lists this ribosomal RNA (253 nucleotides) under uncultured bacterium. Its description in RNAcentral is "partial 16S ribosomal RNA". It matches the Rfam family "Bacterial small subunit ribosomal RNA", at positions 524 to 776 of the family's 1533-position model. The record is from RNAcentral.